Molecule: ribosomal RNA, 401 nt
Filed under: uncultured bacterium
Lineage: Bacteria
Description: bacterial SSU rRNA
Rfam family: Bacterial small subunit ribosomal RNA
Source: RNAcentral
AUUGAACGCUGGCGGCAUGCCUUACACAUGCAAGUCGAACGGCAGCACGGGAGCUUGCUCCUGGUGGCGAGUGGCGAACGGGUGAGUAAUACAUCGGAACGUACCCUGAAGUGGGGGAUAACGUAGCGAAAGUUACGCUAAUACCGCAUAUUCUGUGAGCAGGAAAGAGGGGGAUCGCAAGACCUCUUGCUUUAGGAGCGGCCGAUGUCGGAUUAGCUAGUUGGUGAGGUAAAGGCUCACCAAGGCGACGAUCCGUAGCGGGUCUGAGAGGAUGAUCCGCCACACUGGGACUGAGACACGGCCCAGACUCCUACGGGAGGCAGCAGUGGGGAAUUUUGGACAAUGGGCGCAAGCCUGAUCCAGCCAUGCCGCGUGAGUGAAGAGGCCUUCGGGUUGUAAAG